ACGAACGUUGGCGGCACGCUUAACACAUGCAAGUCGAACGAGAAACCCGAGCUUGCUCGGGUGGACAGUGGCAGACGGCUUAGUAACGCGUGGGUAUCUACCUAGAGGUUUGGAACAACUAUUGGAAACGAUAGCUAAUACCAAAUAUUCCCUAAGGGGGAAGAUUUAUCGCCUUUAGAUGAGCCCGCGUCGGAUUAGCUUGUUGGUAGGGUAAAGGCCUACCAAGGCAACGAUCCGUAGCUGGUCUGAGAGGAUGAUCAGCAAGAUUGGGACUGAGACACGGCCAGACUCCUACGGGAGCAGCAGUGGGGAAUAUUGC
Molecule: ribosomal RNA, 319 nt
Filed under: uncultured OCS116 cluster bacterium
Lineage: Bacteria; Pseudomonadati; Pseudomonadota; Alphaproteobacteria
Description: SSU rRNA
Rfam family: Bacterial small subunit ribosomal RNA
Source: RNAcentral